AACAACUCUCUGUGCUGUGUCUCCAGGGCUGAAGGCAUUGAUCCUUGCACACCCACCUUGCUUGCCCAAGCCUCUCUGGGCCAGCUAGGUCCCCUCUGGCUAAGAGAGAAUGGGGGUGUCAGGCCUCAGGAGAAUUUUUUUGAGGGGGCCAGGGCAUUUCACAAAGGACAAAAAUAGAUGAGAGAGAAGAAAGACAAAGAGGGAUGGCUCAUGGAAUCCUCUCUGGAAUGAAGGUGUGUGGCCAGCAAGGGCCUCGGAGAAGGUGCUUGUUUCCCCUUUGCCUUCCGCCAUGAGUGUAAGUUUCCUGAGGUCUCCCAGUCAUACUGCUGGUUAAGCCUGCAGAACGGUGUACUUGUUUGAAAUGUAUCUGGCCCAAUCGCUGAGCGUCCGCGCUGCAUUUCUCCAAACUGCCCAGCAGGGGGCGGUGCUACCUCGGCUCCGCGCAGCCACGGCUUCCCGCUGGCGAACCAAGGGCGCGGAAUCUGGAGAGGGCGAGGAACAUCUUUCCUCCCACCUGUCCCCCGCCAAGCCUGCCAGACCCGUCUCAUCCGUGCUGCUGCUUCUGAAAAUCAGAAGAGUGAGGAUGAAAUAAAGUCUUCAUAAAGGAAAACCAUUUGCUUGUUUAGAUUUCAUUCAUUCACUACUCAAAUAUUUACUGAGCUCCUACUGUGUGCCAAGCCUUGUUCUAAGCCCUGGGAGUCAACAGGGAACAAAACAGACACAAAUUCCAAUUCCUGCCUUCCUGGAGCAGUCCUUCCUGCUGGGGGCCGGUGGGCAGGAGGUCUUAGAUGACAAACGUAAUAAAUAAGCAAACGACCUAGGAGGUUAGAAGUUGAUACCUUCUAUGGAGUAAAAUAGGAAAAUAGAACAAGGCUGGUCUUGAACUCCCAGCCUCAAGCCAUCCUCCCGCCUUGGCCUUUCAAAGUGCUGGAUUACAAGCGUGAGCCACCGUGCACAGCCAAGACACAAUUUUAAAUCGAGCGGUCAGGAAGCCUCCUGGAGAAAAUGACGUUUGAACAAAGACAUGAAGAAAGUGGAGAAUAUUUGGAGAAAAGCAUUUCAGGCAGAGGAAAGUGCCAGGGCAGAGGCCCCGAGGUGAGACUGUGCUAGCAUGUUAUUUAGUUUUUAGUUUUAAAAAGUGCAAAAUAAUAUCCAUUUACUGUGGGAAAAUUAGACAUUAAAAAAAUCACUUCCUGUCCCUCUACCCAGAAAUAACUGGUAACAUGGUGGUGUAUAUUUUUGUGUUCUAUUUUUAAGCAUACACACAUACAUACGUGUGUGUGUAUAUUAUAUGUAUUUUUUUUACAAAAAUUGGGGUCAUACCAUCAUACGGUUUCAUAACCACUUAUUUGCCUAAUAAUAUAACAAGGCAAUCAUUC
This 1379-nucleotide long non-coding RNA is filed under the name Homo sapiens (human). Its description in RNAcentral is "HSALNT0370441". Lineage: Eukaryota; Metazoa; Chordata; Mammalia; Primates; Hominidae. The record is from RNAcentral.